RNAcentral lists this ribosomal RNA (194 nucleotides) under uncultured Citrobacter sp. RNAcentral describes it as "partial 16S ribosomal RNA". It matches the Rfam family "Bacterial small subunit ribosomal RNA", at positions 338 to 524 of the family's 1533-position model. Lineage: Bacteria; Pseudomonadati; Pseudomonadota; Gammaproteobacteria; Enterobacterales; Enterobacteriaceae. The record is from RNAcentral.
CCUACGGGAGGCAGCAGUGGGGAAUAUUGCACAAUGGGCGCAAGCCUGAUGCAGCCAUGCCGCGUGUAUGAAGAAGGCCUUCGGGUUGUAAAGUACUUUCAGCGAGGAGGAAGGCGAUGCGGUUAAUAACCGUGUCGAUUGACGUUACUCGCAGAAGAAGCACCGGCUAACUCCGUGCCAGCAGCCGCGGUAAU